CCUACGGGAGGCUGCAGUGGGGAAUAUUGGACAAUGGGGGGAACCCUGAUCCAGUCAUGCCGCGUGUGUGAAGAAGGCCCUCGGGUUGUAAAGCACUUUCAGUGAGGAAGAACGCCUGGUGGUUAAUACCCAUCAGGAAAGACAUCACUCACAGAAGAAGCACCGGCUAACUCCGUGCCAGCAGCCGCGGUAAUACGGAGGGUGCGAGCGUUAAUCGGAAUUACUGGGCGUAAAGCGCGCGUAGGUGGCUUGAUAAGCCGGUUGUGAAAGCCCCGGGCUCAACCUGGGAACGGCAUCCGGAACUGUCAAGCUAGAGUGCAGGAGAGGAAGGUAGAAUUCCCGGUGUAGCGGUGAAAUGCGUAGAGAUCGGGAGGAAUACCAGUGGCGAAGGCGGCCUUCUGGACUGACACUGACACUGAGGUGCGAAAGCGUGGGUAGCAAACAGGAUUAGAUACCCCAGUAGUC
This 465-nucleotide ribosomal RNA is filed under the name Vreelandella stevensii. Its description in RNAcentral is "partial 16S ribosomal RNA". It matches the Rfam family "Bacterial small subunit ribosomal RNA", at positions 338 to 795 of the family's 1533-position model. Lineage: Bacteria; Pseudomonadati; Pseudomonadota; Gammaproteobacteria; Oceanospirillales; Halomonadaceae. The record is from RNAcentral.